CUCUCGGCCUUAGCGCCAUCUUCUUGGAAACUUCUGCACCAUGAGAGCCAAGCAGAGAAAGAAGUGAAUGCGCAGGCUGAAACGCAAAAGAAGAAAGGUGAGGCAGAGGGCCAAGUAAACUGCUAGCUUGUGCACCCGCGGAGGCCACAGCAGCAGAAACAUGAAGUGCCAGAGGCUGGGGAUGCUGGCACAAGUUGUUGGACUGCAUGCUACUGUCUAGAGCUUGUCUCAAUGGAUCUAGAACUUCAUCGCCCG
This 255-nucleotide long non-coding RNA is filed under the name Homo sapiens (human). RNAcentral's name for it is "HSALNT0392632". The record is from RNAcentral. Lineage: Eukaryota; Metazoa; Chordata; Mammalia; Primates; Hominidae.